This 119-nucleotide small RNA is filed under the name unclassified sequences. RNAcentral's name for it is "LOOT RNA". It matches the Rfam family "LOOT RNA". Rfam says of the family: Latescibacteria, OD1/Parcubacteria, OP11, TM7. Lineage (Microgenomates, aka OP11) The record is from Rfam by way of RNAcentral.
GGCCUAAACCAUUCAUUUUGUGUGGCAUGGCUCGAAAGACCCAAGCAUGGUACUGAACCCCGCGUUCAGCGACUCAUGCUUGGGCUAUGCCGGGAAACCGGUAUGGGGCCGCAAGGCCU